RNAcentral lists this transfer RNA (66 nucleotides) under Rhagoletis completa. RNAcentral describes it as "tRNA-Ile". Lineage: Eukaryota; Metazoa; Arthropoda; Insecta; Diptera; Tephritidae. The record is from RNAcentral.
AAUGAAUUGCCUGACAAAAAGGGUUACCUUGAUAGGGUAAAUUAUGUAUUAAUAUUACAUUCAUUA